Molecule: regulatory RNA element, 150 nt
Organism: Nitratireductor basaltis
Lineage: Bacteria; Pseudomonadati; Pseudomonadota; Alphaproteobacteria; Hyphomicrobiales; Phyllobacteriaceae
Rfam family: speF leader
About the family: This family is a putative regulatory RNA structure that is found upstream of the speF gene encoding ornithine decarboxylase in Agrobacterium tumefaciens and other alpha-proteobacteria.
Source: Rfam
UGCCGGUUGUCCAUAAACCGGGGUUACUGAAGAGGCACACCUUCAUUGCCGGCAGUGCGGAGGGUUUUCCCAUCCAAAGCUGAGGCAGACAGAGCGGAUUUUCGCUUCUCGCAAGCGGUGAUCCAACGCGGUGCGUCAUGGCACCAUGGC